Molecule: long non-coding RNA, 943 nt
Filed under: Marmota monax (woodchuck)
Lineage: Eukaryota; Metazoa; Chordata; Mammalia; Rodentia; Sciuridae
Source: RNAcentral
CUUAGUUCUGUUUAGGAAAAAAUAAACAAACAAAACAAAACAAAAAAACCACUCAGCCAUAGAGUGUGGAAGAAAGGGUAUGAAGAAAUUAGACUUAAGUCUGUGCUUUUGGUAAUGAAGGCAAUUAAUAGUAAUCCAGAUGAAAUACAUUGAGGACCUGAAUUGGAAUGGUGACUGUGAAUCUGUGAGGAAGGCUAUGAAAGAUGGUAUUAAGAGAUUAUUAGGAGUUAGACUUGUGAGGACUGCUCAGAUGGAAAGGUAGGAGUUGAAUGCUGUUGAGGAAAAUGGAAAUUUAGGAUUACUGUCAAGCUUUUUGAUUAUGUACCUGGAUAAUGUCAUUCAGAGAGAAAGAGUUUAUUUUAGAAGUAUAUUAUUAACCAGAUAGAGAUCCAUGAGCAGAUAGGGGAAAAGUUGAAUUUCAAACAAAAAUAUGCUUUUCUUUGAGAAAAUAUUGGGUGAUCCUGGAGUCUGAAAGAUUGAAAAUUAGGGUAAGUCUGGCAUGCUGAAGCAGGCUAAGGAUAGUGAGUUUCAUAGGAGAGUAUCAAUUAGGGGAUUUCUAUAGAAAAUAGGAGGGUCAGAGCCAGACAUUUAUUUAUUUAUUUAUUUAUUUAAGUAUUUUUUUAGUUGUUGAUGAACAUUUAUUUUAUUCAUUUAAUCAUAUGUGGUACUGAUAAUUGAACCUAGUGCCUCACACAUGUGAGGCAAGCGCCCUACCAUUGAGCCACAACCUCAGCCCUUUGAUAUUUAUUUUUGAAGUUAUUGUUUACCAUAUUUUAUUUAAUGGCAGAUUUCUGCCAUUUUGCUAUCCCAAACUAAACUGGCUAAUUCAAAUGUUUUAACCUUAGGAUGAGUCUGGGAGUCCUGGGUAAGUAGCUGCUUUAAGAUAUUUUCUAUGUGAGGAGCUAGGAUGGUAAAGAUGAUAAUAUCAAAUUCCAGAUCUAUG